Molecule: long non-coding RNA, 314 nt
Organism: Oreochromis aureus
Lineage: Eukaryota; Metazoa; Chordata; Actinopteri; Cichliformes; Cichlidae
Source: Ensembl
CAUGGGGAAUUGGCGGUUAACGACAUGCUCACUUUACUUGGACGUUUUCUAAUCGUCUUCUUUGGAAUAUGCUUUCAAGGUUGAAGCAGAAUUUGCCCAUCUUACAUCUGUUGAGCUGAAAGGGUUCCUUUUUGCUGUGCUUGACCAUUAUGGAGAGGUUCGUGGAGCUGUACAAAAUCAAGAGCGGCAUAGAAGGGCUAACUAGGCUCAUAAAAUACUUCAAUGAUGAUAGCCCUACACAAAGGACGAAGACAGAGGACCUCACCUUCCUUUUCUAAAGGAAGAUCUCUCACACACUUUCAAGACUGUGAAGG